AGAAAGAGUUUGAAUUUGCUGAAACCCUUCUGCAGCCCUUGAAUUGUGGAGCAAUUACCCUGACCAAUUUUUGAAAUAUGUUGCCUAGGGCCGAAUCCUUUGACGUACAAGUGCUGACCUGGAUGACAGAAGAAGACAGAUUUAAAGUUUGUUCUAAAGAAAGAGAUAAAGACAAUGCAAAAAUAGAAAAGAUUUGUUUUUUUCUUUCUCAUCCCUUGAAGUGCUGAGAAUAAGAGGUGUGUGCUUAUGACAAUAGCAGAGAGAUCAUUUCAGACAAAGCACACUUUGCAAAAAUAAUGUGUUUUAAUUCAAUCAAAAACUGUUUUUCUGAAGACUUUUUAUCACCUAUUUCCUACAAAUAAUGUUUCAGAAGUCACCAUACUUACAUGUCACAACAGAAAAAAACAUCACUCGCAAUUUUCCAUUUUUGCUUAAUAAAGUGCAUUAGAUAUCUGUGUGCUCCCUUUUUGCAUGUUCACUUCAUUUGAUAUUGUAAAAUUAUGUAGUAGU
Long non-coding RNA from Oxyura jamaicensis (ruddy duck), 510 nucleotides. RefSeq lists it as uncharacterized. The record is from RefSeq and is a predicted model, not a curated record. The transcript is spliced from 2 exons. Lineage: Eukaryota; Metazoa; Chordata; Aves; Anseriformes; Anatidae.